Long non-coding RNA from Helicoverpa armigera (cotton bollworm), 1904 nucleotides. RefSeq lists it as uncharacterized. The transcript is spliced from 3 exons. NCBI's taxonomy places the organism in Eukaryota, Metazoa, Arthropoda, Insecta, Lepidoptera, Noctuidae. The record is from RefSeq and is a predicted model, not a curated record.
UUAUAGUCAAAGUGUAUUUUUUUCUUUUUAGCGCAUUUAAAUAAAAGCUUUUUACCUUAAUUUUUUUUCUUGUGGUAACCCUGAAUAUGCUUGGCGCGUAUUUAGCAUUUAACAUUUUAUUUUGUUAUUAAAAUGGUGAAAAAGUGUUGCGUUUAUACUUGCAAAUGUAAAUCCUAUGAUGGUUGCAACAUAUCGUUCCACAGCUUCCCAAAAAAUGAAGAAAGACGACAUAAAUGGUUCAGCAGUCUAUAGUGGCGGUCCGCCCCGGGCACCACAUCUAAAGGGGUGCCAUCUCGUUCGGCACAUAUCUGCACGUCCAGGAUAGCGCGGGCAGAAGGGACAAGUCACGGAAGGUGUCAUCCUAAUCUGCGAAACCUAGAUUCACUACCAGUCGCUGCGCAAUUUUCAAAUCGCGCGAGACAUCGAGGCCGGACUAAGGGGUCGACUGUCACCCCUUUAAAGAAGAAAAAAUGCGCUCGCUUCACUCGCGAUUUUCGUCUUUGUUCCUAAUUUAUUCUGCGCUUACUUUACGGUGAUUUUUUAUAAGCUGUUCAGUUCAAUAAAUUCGCGCUCGCUACGCUCGUGGCUCCUUCGAUUUACAGUGGCGUUUUUAAGUCACAGUCAAAAACGUUUAUUGAAAGUAGGCUAGUUUUUAGUACUUUUUCACGGCAAAAUUACAAAAGUAUUAUAGCAGCUGCCUAUUACAAUUUACUUAUAAUAUUGUUUUAUCAGUUGUUUAGGUACUUUUGCAUCCCAAAACUCAAAAACUUAACUUUUUAACUUUUUGUGCCACAAAAUCUAAAAUUUUCAAAAAAUCAUCAAAGAUCGCGUUUUUAACAUUAUAUCAUUGGUCUGUGAUUUGAUUUUGUCGUUUUUUUUUGGGGGUGCUCAAUAGGUAGUCGCCCCGGGUGCCACCCGAUGCUAGGCCGCCACUGCUGACUUUUACAAAGAAGAGCGAGUGUCUGCUGAUCAAGGCAGGCACUAAAAGCUAUGAUGUACCACCUAUUACACUUGUAGGGACUGCUUUAGAGUGGGUCACUUCUUUGAAAUAUCUGGGGCACUGGGUCACUCCUACGCAGACUGAUAAUAAUGACAUUGAAAGGGAACGUAGGGCGCUGUCAGUCAGGAGCAAUAUGUUGAUCCGUAGGUUUGCAAAGUGCUCAAGGGAUGUCAAGAAUACUCUGUUCAGAGCGUACUGCCAAUCUCUCUACACUCGCAGCCUAUGGGUCGACUAUACGCAGAGGGCCUAUAGCGCCUUACGAAUCCAAUUCACAAUUGAGAUUGCCGGGUCUUUCGUCAUCUCGACACACUUAACUCACCACGAAUGUGUUCAGUUGGUGAAACUCAAAAUUUUAACAUUUAUCAUUUCGUCAACUCGACACGUCAAGAUUUUGAUGCGUGUUCAGUUGGUGAAAGUUAAAUUAUUCACUUUUAUGUUUUCACCAACUCGACACGUUUUAUAAUUUAACCCGAUUUUAAGCAAAAAGUACAGUCAACAAAUGAAUGUAUUCAUUUUCUGUGUCACAAACAUCAUCGGCCACUGAACUUCAGCUUAGCAAACGCUUCAUCAGGGAUGUUUGCGGAGGCGCGUAUUGAUGACUUUCACGCUAUAAUCCGAAAGAGAAUCGCAUCCCUGAUGUGUCGGGUGCGGGGCAGCGCUAACAGUCUUUUGAGGACUGUGGCAGAUUGGACUGAUGGCCUCAUAUUAAAACACUGGACAAAGACGCAAGUGUUGUCUACAAACCGUGCCCAGAAGUAGUGUUGAGUUGUGUGGGUUGUUUUAAUUAAUUGUAUUUUGUGUAUUUGUCAUGACAUGAUUAUAUACAAUUUUAAAUUAAUGUGUUGCCUAAAUGUAUGUUUUUAUGUACUAACACUAGAUUAUAAGCUGUUUAUGUCUUUACUAA